Molecule: ribosomal RNA, 1552 nt
Filed under: Staphylococcus aureus
Lineage: Bacteria; Bacillati; Bacillota; Bacilli; Caryophanales; Staphylococcaceae
Description: 16S ribosomal RNA
Rfam family: Bacterial small subunit ribosomal RNA
Source: RNAcentral
UUUAUGGAGAGUUUGAUCCUGGCUCAGGAUGAACGCUGGCGGCGUGCCUAAUACAUGCAAGUCGAGCGAACGGACGAGAAGCUUGCUUCUCUGAUGUUAGCGGCGGACGGGUGAGUAACACGUGGAUAACCUACCUAUAAGACUGGGAUAACUUCGGGAAACCGGAGCUAAUACCGGAUAAUAUUUUGAACCGCAUGGUUCAAAAGUGAAAGACGGUCCUGCUGUCACUUAUAGAUGGAUCCGCGCUGCAUUAGCUAGUUGGUAAGGUAACGGCUUACCAAGGCAACGAUGCAUAGCCGACCUGAGAGGGUGAUCGGCCACACUGGAACUGAGACACGGUCCAGACUCCUACGGGAGGCAGCAGUAGGGAAUCUUCCGCAAUGGGCGAAAGCCUGACGGAGCAACGCCGCGUGAGUGAUGAAGGUCUUCGGAUCGUAAAACUCUGUUAUUAGGGAAGAACAUAUGUGUAAGUAACUGUGCACAUCUUGACGGUACCUAAUCAGAAAGCCACGGCUAACUACGUGCCAGCAGCCGCGGUAAUACGUAGGUGGCAAGCGUUAUCCGGAAUUAUUGGGCGUAAAGCGCGCGUAGGCGGUUUUUUAAGUCUGAUGUGAAAGCCCACGGCUCAACCGUGGAGGGUCAUUGGAAACUGGAAAACUUGAGUGCAGAAGAGGAAAGUGGAAUUCCAUGUGUAGCGGUGAAAUGCGCAGAGAUAUGGAGGAACACCAGUGGCGAAGGCGACUUUCUGGUCUGUAACUGACGCUGAUGUGCGAAAGCGUGGGGAUCAAACAGGAUUAGAUACCCUGGUAGUCCACGCCGUAAACGAUGAGUGCUAAGUGUUAGGGGGUUUCCGCCCCUUAGUGCUGCAGCUAACGCAUUAAGCACUCCGCCUGGGGAGUACGACCGCAAGGUUGAAACUCAAAGGAAUUGACGGGGACCCGCACAAGCGGUGGAGCAUGUGGUUUAAUUCGAAGCAACGCGAAGAACCUUACCAAAUCUUGACAUCCUUUGACAACUCUAGAGAUAGAGCCUUCCCCUUCGGGGGACAAAGUGACAGGUGGUGCAUGGUUGUCGUCAGCUCGUGUCGUGAGAUGUUGGGUUAAGUCCCGCAACGAGCGCAACCCUUAAGCUUAGUUGCCAUCAUUAAGUUGGGCACUCUAAGUUGACUGCCGGUGACAAACCGGAGGAAGGUGGGGAUGACGUCAAAUCAUCAUGCCCCUUAUGAUUUGGGCUACACACGUGCUACAAUGGACAAUACAAAGGGCAGCGAAACCGCGAGGUCAAGCAAAUCCCAUAAAGUUGUUCUCAGUUCGGAUUGUAGUCUGCAACUCGACUACAUGAAGCUGGAAUCGCUAGUAAUCGUAGAUCAGCAUGCUACGGUGAAUACGUUCCCGGGUCUUGUACACACCGCCCGUCACACCACGAGAGUUUGUAACACCCGAAGCCGGUGGAGUAACCUUUUAGGAGCUAGCCGUCGAAGGUGGGACAAAUGAUUGGGGUGAAGUCGUAACAAGGUAGCCGUAUCGGAAGGUGCGGCUGGAUCACCUCCUUU